AAACCCCAUCCUUAAAAUUACCCCAACUCAUUUGCUGGAACAAUAGGGGGUAAUUCUUGCCCUCUCACCCUCCGUACAGCGUCUCCUCUUCCAUCGUUCUUCCAGCGACCUCUCUCUCGUCUUCGGCAGUCUCCAUCGAGGCGGCGCUCUGCUGGGACUACGACGAGAAAGUGCACACCGCCAACAAGCUCGCCGCGGUGAAGAAGAACAUCGAAGCGAUUCAGGGCAGAGGUAAUUACCCAUGGGACAAGCAAUUGUUGAUUCAUAGCGGAAAAGUUCUCAAGGAUGAGACGACAUUAGAAGAGAACCAAGUGGCAGUGAAGAUGGGUUUCUUGUUGUAAUGCUCAGCAAUGUAUUGGGAUUUUUUUCUUUCUUUUUGUCCAGAAUUAUCCAUGAUUUUUUUGCGGAGUAUGUUGCUUAAAAUUACUCAGAAUCAAAUUUGAUGCAGGGGGGUUAUUUA
Molecule: long non-coding RNA, 460 nt
Organism: Asparagus officinalis (garden asparagus)
Lineage: Eukaryota; Viridiplantae; Streptophyta; Magnoliopsida; Asparagales; Asparagaceae
Exons: 2
Source: RefSeq, a predicted model, not a curated record